Zophobas morio is the source of this 2628-nucleotide long non-coding RNA. RefSeq lists it as uncharacterized. The record is from RefSeq and is a predicted model, not a curated record. NCBI's taxonomy places the organism in Eukaryota, Metazoa, Arthropoda, Insecta, Coleoptera, Tenebrionidae. The transcript has 2 exons.
CAUAAACUGAUUAAAUACUUAAUGUCUUUUUUUAUGACAUUAAAGAUACCGUCGUCUUCGUUUAUUCACUAUUAAAGUCUCUCCAAUCCCUUAAAUGUGACAUGUGGGGGCGCAUACGUCGGGAGGGAAAGGAAUCUGUAAUGUCGGCUAAAUGUCUGUCGUGGUCUGACUUUUUGACACAAUUUGACAUCAUGUAUUUCGGUUUUUACUUGAAAAAGAGGAAAAAUUUCGGUACCGGUGCCAAAGUCACAACGCCAUGGGCGUGGAUGGUCUUCAAAGGGAUAUGCAGUAGGAAAAUUUUUCUUUGAGGUGUUUACAUUGUUAUCGGAAUGCGUCUCAGGAAUUAUUAAGCUGGAUUCUGGAUCACGUUUAAUAUUUGCUGGGGAACUUGAAGAAGUAGGAACAGGUAGCGGCGACUUGGAACCAUGGAGGAACAAAGUAGGAACAGAGCCGGGUUUAAGUCUUUUAUUUGUAUAAUAACAACUUCUCUCAAAGUGUUUACCACAAAUGUAUAAAUUAUGUGCAAUAUUAUCACCUGAAAUGGUUUUAAUAGUUAUACAUUCCCUUAUUAGGUCAAAGAUUUAUGUUGGGGUACCUACUUGUAGCAUUAAAAACCUUUUUGCACCACCUUUUGUUCACAGUGUUUGAAGGGAAUCUGUGCAUUAUUUUGUGGUCUCUAGGAUCUUUGAUUACCCGACAAGCAGGCACAGAGCAAUAUUUUUUCGACAUUUUGAUAAUAUCAAUUCAAGCACAAACUGUUUUGGCGCGUGACAAAACGGAUUAAUUACAGGUUCCUGUAACUCCCGAAGGGGGUGACAUCUUUUGAUAUUUUCCCUUUUGACAAGUCGGACGAUUGUAACCAAUUGGAGAGACUUUAAUAGUGAAUCAACGAAGACGACGAAAGAUACCAUAAAAUUUUCGCUGUAACGUAUCGUUGUUUCCAAAAAAUUUAGGACAAAUGACAUUAGCAUGAAAGUCAUGUUCCCAUUGCUUUUUAUUGAUAUUAUGAGCCCUGAUUUGUUCAUCUUGCCCAAAUUUUUUUGGAAACGACCGUAGUUUAUUAAAAUGGCAUAUGACUUACUGCUAUCAAACGCACCUUGUACUAAUUUUUAAUACUUAAAUACUUUAAAACCACAGUUUAAUAGUUUAUUCAGUUAGAGUUUCUCUCAAGAAGCAGUGAACCUCCUCCAUUACUGUCUCUUGUGGGCAGGCGGGUGUUCCUGCCGAUUGUUAUAAAUAAUACAAAUAAUUGGGCAUUUUAUCAGCAAUUAUUAUACCUUAAGAAUUGUAAAAAUACUGAGACAUCAUUGAACAUUGUGUUAUGUUAACCUGUUUCAUUAGUGCAAUGUAUUUGCAACCAUUUUUUUAACAGCCUGUGAUAGACUAUUAGACUAUUAAAGUAAAAUGACAGUUGGGUGUUUAUUUCUUUUUCAGUUUAUAAAAAAAAACUUAUAAAGAACAAAAAUGUGGAAGAUGAGUGUAAUAAGGGACUACCACUUUAUUGUACAAACAAGUAAUCUGUUUCAGUUUCAGUGUCAUUUAAGUAAAUAUUCGAACUAUUGUCUUUCACGCUAAACAACUAAACUUCGUAUUAAUUAGCAACUUAUCUCAGUUUAUAAUAGAGUAUUACGUGUUAAACAAGCAUAUAUGGGACAAAAUACGAUAAUGGGCAAAAACGUGUUCCUACCACAUUUAUCUGUGUUUUCUUUUAAUUUUUUCUUAAAUAUUGAAUUUAUCAUAAACAAUGACUUUAUAAUUAUUAGAUAUUACACAGUUCACUAAUAUUAAGUGGUACACAGUUGUGGUUUUCCAUUAAACUUUUAACAAAUGUAACGCCGGUCCCCUGUCCCCAGGCGAUAUUUACAAAAUGCUUCGUAUUGUGGGCAACUGCUGCAUUCAUGUUAUUUAAAGUGAACCAAGAGCUAUAAGGUUAUAUGGCCAUCAUAAAAGUAGUUGACCGCCAAUAAAUAUCCCCUUUGUGUGGUUCGGACUAAGCUUACCGGUUGGCAAUAAAUCACCUUCUGAACAUUUCUUGCUCAUAUUUAACAGGGCCGGCUUUCAAAGCGAGUGGUUAUUUCGGAACCCUCAGCGGCUGCAGGUAGUAAAGAAAUAGUGGAGUGGUGGAUUUUCAUAUUUAGUGAAAGCCGCCCCUGAACGAAACCACAAGAGCCGGUCGAGCCGCAGUGGACACGUUAUUUACGACCCUAAAACCUUUUCUAUUGUAAACAACUUAACUUCGACACAAUGGGAUGAUUUUAUGAUGGCCAUAUAACCUUAUAGCUCUUGGUUCACUAUACGUAUAAUUUAUUUUUGUAAACUCAAUACCGUGAAAAUUUAUUUAAACAUGAUUAAAAGUCUUUUAAUUGCUUUAUUGUUGCACAAAAAAAAUAAAUAAAUGUGUACCUACAAAUGCAUCAUUUAAGAUUUGGUAAGCAUUUAUGGAUAUUGUUAUCAUUGCUUUUAACUAAAGAAGCUGUGACUGCUUCUGACAAGUUGACAAAGUGAGUGAAAAAAAUGGCCAAACAGAAAAUGAAGAAAACUGCAGCUGAAAACGAGAAUAUGAACGUGAAAAGAAAAAAAAAACGUGCAAGAAUGUCGGAAAAAGAUGGAAAUUUAAAAAGAAUGAAA